This 252-nucleotide ribosomal RNA is filed under the name uncultured bacterium. RNAcentral describes it as "partial 16S ribosomal RNA". It matches the Rfam family "Bacterial small subunit ribosomal RNA", at positions 524 to 776 of the family's 1533-position model. The record is from RNAcentral.
UACGUAGGGGGCUAGCGUUAUCCGGAAUUACUGGGCGUAAAGGGUGCGUAGGUGGUUUCUUAAGUCAGAGGUGAAAGGCUACGGCUCAACCGUAGUAAGCCUUUGAAACUGGGGAACUUGAGUGCAGGAGAGGAGAGUGGAAUUCCUAGUGUAGCGGUGAAAUGCGUAGAUAUUAGGAGGAACACCGGUUGCGAAGGCGGCUCUCUGGACUGUAACUGACACUGAGGCACGAAAGCGUGGGGAGCAAACAGG